Molecule: non-coding RNA, 55 nt
Organism: Schistosoma haematobium
Lineage: Eukaryota; Metazoa; Platyhelminthes; Trematoda; Strigeidida; Schistosomatidae
Source: Rfam
UUUCGUCACACACCAAACCACAAGGGCUGAUGAGACUUCCAAGAUAAGUGAAGCG